CUCCUGAUCUCAAGUGAUCCACCUGCCUCGGCCUCCCAAAAUGUUGGGAUUACAGGCAUGAGCCACGGCACCGGCCUACACCUCUUUAUUUUGUCAUCUAUCAAUAAUUUUCUCUUUGAUGUCUUUCUUUGCCUGGAGACUAAGAUGUUUUUCAAGAUGGAUACCAGUUCUUAUACAUCUUGGUAACUCCCCUCAGCACAGUGCCUAGCAUAGAAAGAGAAAACCUUUGGAUGAUUGAAUAACUUGCCCAGAGUCAGGUUCUCAGUCAUCCAGGCAGGCUUUGCUGCUGGAGUAUCUUUGGUUGUUUUCUGGGGAUUACGUUCGCUUGCCACAGUUUUUCUCCCCUUUUCCUUGCAUAUCUGGUUCUGAUUGAGCCUGAAUUUCUGUGAGAGCAGAUGAGAGACCAGUGGAUGUAGACUGGGUUAGAUUGAGUAUCCUGUUGCAUACAAUCCCACACUGUAGGAUCUGCAUUGGCAAUACCUCUGUCACUCUUUUCCUGCUUCUCCCCAGUGUCUCGACUGCAUUGUGAGAGUGAAUCUUUCAAGAUGGAUCUAAUCUUAGAUGUAAACAUUCAAAUUUACCCUGUAGACUUGGGUGACAAGUUCCGGUUGGUCAUAGCUAGUACCUUGUAUGAAGAUGGUACCCUGGAUGAUGGUGAAUACAACCCCACUGAUGAUAGGCCUUCCAGGGCUGACCAGUUUGAGUAUGUAAUGUAUGGAAAAGUGUACAGGAUUGAGGGAGACGAAACUUCUACUGAAGCAGCAACACGCCUCUCUGCCUACGUGUCCUAUGGGGGCCUGCUCAUGAGGCUGCAGGGGGAUGCCAAUAACCUGCAUGGAUUUGAGGUGGACUCCAGAGUUUAUCUCCUGAUGAAGAAGCUAGCCUUCUGAACCUCGCCUGAAGCCAGCCUCGCUGCCAAGUCACUCAGGUCAUGGGCAUUGUUCAAGCCUGAGUGGCAGCCGCUCUUGCCCCUCUUGAGGAGGGGCUGGCUCACUGUCCACUGUGGUGGCAUCUUUAACUGGCCUCCA
Molecule: small RNA, 1028 nt
Filed under: Pongo abelii (Sumatran orangutan)
Lineage: Eukaryota; Metazoa; Chordata; Mammalia; Primates; Hominidae
Description: retained intron
Source: RNAcentral